AUGCUUGCUUUGGCAGCACAUAUGCUAAAAUUGGAACGAUAACAGAAAGGAUUAGUAUGGCCCCUGGGCAAAGAUGACAUUCAAAUUUGUGAAGCAUUCCAUCUUUUU
This is a small nuclear RNA of Saimiri boliviensis boliviensis (Bolivian squirrel monkey), 108 nucleotides long. The record is from Ensembl. Lineage: Eukaryota; Metazoa; Chordata; Mammalia; Primates; Cebidae.